RNAcentral lists this unclassified non-coding RNA (234 nucleotides) under Hevea brasiliensis (rubber tree). Lineage: Eukaryota; Viridiplantae; Streptophyta; Magnoliopsida; Malpighiales; Euphorbiaceae. The record is from RNAcentral.
GUCUUCUUGGCUAAUGUCAAUAAUAUGGAACUACACAAGAUGGACCUGAGAAACUGCAUUUUACCAUCAGCAUUCAUAGAAAAACCUCUCCGUCAUCUCCACGACUUGAUGCUCUCCAAUUUCCAAUAUUGUCUCCAAGUAUUGUUUUUCUUCAAUUUCCUUUGAAAUUUCUUGGGCAUGAUAUUCUUCAUUUCCUAGGACACACUCCUUAAACUCUUCAUCUUCAACCAUAGC